Molecule: long non-coding RNA, 36245 nt
Filed under: Volvox carteri
Lineage: Eukaryota; Viridiplantae; Chlorophyta; Chlorophyceae; Chlamydomonadales; Volvocaceae
Description: long non-coding RNA (VCAR_LNC003307)
Source: RNAcentral
CCAGCACUGAACCUCGUCUCCGUCGACGAGUAGCUGAGUCUGGCAGCCGCACCGAUCCCAUUCCUGCGGACCCACAAGAGGAAGAACGGCGUAUUGCUGAGGACAUCAUUCAUAAGGUCAACAAGUAUGCACUACCAUUGAGUACAACUCUACGGUGCAACCCUAUUAGUAUCUACACGAAGGUCGGCAGCCGAGUCCUUGGGUUGGCUCGUCAGCACACCAGCCCUGGCAACCCCCAACCUGAGUCCACGUUUGGACCAGAGAGGCCUACGGCGGGCACCAUGCAAGCUUCUCUUUCGGAGCAACCGCCCUCAACGAUACCCGCCUGGAACCUGGAAGUCUGAUGCCGUCAUACCACCCUGGCAAGUUUGCAGAGCCACCAUAUGGAUAGUUGACGGACAUGGAGGACAAAUCCCCGUCCCUGCCGUCAUCGAUUCUGGGGCUUCUCAUAGUGUUGUUACUCGAGACACACUACAGCGCCUAGACCUGCUACACCUGAUGGAGGAGAUGGAGGUGACGUUCCUGAAUGCGGAUGGCAAUCGUGGUCGGGCCGCUGGACAUGUCAGUGAACUACAAGUGUCCACUGGCGACCUAACGAUGCUGCUGAGUCUGUUCGUCAGCACUGCCCUCAAUUAUCAGCUACUCCUGGGCACCGACUUCCUCUACCCAAUACGAGAGUGGUCGUCUGGAAUACACCAAUGACCGUGUAGCAGGCUACAUUUCCCUUAGAAUAUUUCAACAAUUACUUUUAACAAUAACUGUUAAUUCGUUAACGAUUCGUCUCAAGUUUCGUACAUGUUACGAGCUUCGUCACAUGUACCGAACAUGGCGGUUGUUCGUAAGCGAACCUAACGGGCUGGGGCCCCGGGCCCCACCAACAUUAUCCUAGUACGGCAAGUCCGUGGUAGGGAAUCUCCGGCAGGUAGGCCGAGAUAUAAGCUACCCGGGCGGGGUGCUCUGGCCAGACACUGACGUAUCACAUUACUAGGUGUUCGGAGUUCAAGACUCCGCUGCCGCCGUCUCUGAUUGUGUUCGUACGCGUCUAUGUACGCUAGUGCUUGCCGCUUGGUUGGACUUCUUCCCACUCCGGCGAGGACUGUAAACUCUACGCUUCCGCUAAGUCAGUCGACCCGCCAGGUGAGCGACUGCUACAUUGGUAUCGAGGGUCAAGUUCGAUCCUCCUUGACGCGAUGCGCUUCACUCCUGCCGCGCGACGGCGUUUGGCUAGACUUUUUCUUAAAUUUCAACGAUCUUAUUAACGACGCCGUGAAGCGCUCCUUGCUAACCAGAACCAGGCCCCUUCCAAGUCCGAGGCUCAUGAUUCUGGCGAUCAAGACGUAUGCCCUUUGGCUAUUCCAAUUAAUGAACAUGAUAUCAAUAAUAUUCCUGUUGCCAAUCGUGCACAGAUGGACGUCGAUCCUCCUACGGAUCCGACUUCGGAUGCCGUGCAGCGCGGUUCGCCUUCUACGGGCGGAUUACCGGCGUACGAGCCGGUAAUCCGCCCCGUACGCCGGCCCAGGCUGCGGCAGCCGCACAUGUUCAAGAAAUGCUUCGCGCGGCGCGCGACAACCAAGUCCCCGCUCUUCAAGCGGAAUUAACGACCUUUAAGGGUGAGGUGGAGGGCCUUUUCGCCGAGUACGGUGAACGUUUGGGCGAAAUCACCUCUGUCCUGAAGGAUCUCCAGACGCAACUUCGGGACGUGUUACCUGCGUCGCCUGCUCCGAGUUCUUCGGACACCCGGCGCAGAUCCAUCAUUCUCGAUGGCAUUUGCGAGAUGCUGGACAGCAGCAUCGCCUCAUUCCUUGAGGUUGACAUGCUGCAGAACUGCGCGUUUCAAGUGCUUCUCCAGCGACACCUCAACCCCGAAGUACGACUGGAAGAAGUCAAGCAGCUUUGGAGUGAGGGCGUGGCUAAGAAAGCCGGUGGACCUUCCAGCUCGGCUGGCCCCUCUUCCAAGACCGCCCGAACUACGGAGGUAAAUAAGCGUAUCCUUGCACCACCUCGUUUUAGUGGAAAAAAGGAUUCGCAAAUUACUAAUACGAAGACAUGGUUUGCGCUGCUUAUGCAAUACUUUGACUUGCCGCAAAUGGACCCGCUUGAGCACUUUAUGUUCUGGCUUACCGGCAAGGCUCAGGAGUGGGCCGCCGAUCUUUUCCUUAAGCACAAGUCCGGCGCACAACCACUCACCCGCGAUCUGUUGCGUGAUAAAUUCCUGUUACAAUAUGGGGAUGCGAAACGCGACACCGCGAUGGCCGCACGUGAUCGUUUGCACGCGCACGAAUACGAUAUGAAAAUAGACGAGUCCGUACCAGAGUACACGCAGCGCUUUUACGAUAUUGUUCGCGAAGCGAAUGAUAUGAGUGUUGCGGAUCAAAUCUCUUGGUACAUUAAGGGCCUAGUUCCUGCGCUGCGCAGACGAUGAGGGCAAGGACUGGCAGGAUUUAGAGAAACUCAUCAUGUAUGCUAGCGGUCAGGAAGUUCGGUGGAAAGCCGGAAAGGACAAAGCACAGCUUGCUGUGGUGACCAUGCAAGCCGGCCCGUCUAAGAUUACUUCCUCCGCUCGCCCUAAGAAUUCUCACCCUCGGUCCCCUCCUAAACAGGCCUGGGAUACGGUCCGUGCCAAGAAACAGAAGACGUCUACGUCUAGUAACUUUCUCAAGUGCCGGGUGUGCUCUCGUCUAAAGCCGGAACACCAGACUUGGGAGGAGCAUAAGAAGGACUGCCUUCGACACCUGCAGGAGCAGAUGGCUCGGCUGCAGGAGAAGACGUCCCGUUUUAACGCGAACAAGCAGAAGGAUUAGGACGCUGGCAAGCGCGAGGGGGUGUCUUGUAAGCAGGCCGUUGGUGCUGUAGCACGAGUAGACCAAGUCUCUCAAGACGAGCCUGACUUGACAACUAGGGACUUUGUUGUUCCGCCCGUUUGCGAUCCGUUGAUUUGUGAUCGGAUGUUCCUUCGUGAUGAAUUUCGAAGAGUUGAGAACGAACUUGGGCGUCAAUUUACGUUUGAUGCCGCUUGUAACGACUCGGGCGACAACAGUCUCUGUUCGCGCUUUGCCUCUCCAUCCAACUCGUUCUUUGAUACGGACGUAUCUGGCGAGUUUGUUUGGAUCAAUCCCCCAUACACUCAUAUUAAAGAAUGGCAGCAGCAUUACCAUCGCUGUAAGCUAAAAAGUCCUCAAACAACUUCUGCGGUGUUCGCCGUUCCAAAAUGGACUCAAGUCGAGUGUCUUAUGCGUUCCGCUGGAUACCAGCUACUCAAAACUUAUGCUGCUGAAACACAGUUGUUCUCACAACCAGCAGAAAUGGGAACGCGUUCGGACUUGCCGGGCAUCCCUUGGCCAGUACAGCUUUGGUAUGACCCGCCGUCCAAAUCGGUGCAGCUUAACAGCUUGGAUAGCAAUGGCCGCACUAUGCUUUUCGAUGCUCGCUUGUGUCAGACGGCUUGCAAAGUUCUUGCCGAUUCCGGUGCCAAUUGCGGCCGGGUUGCCGACGGCUUCAUUUCUCUUGAAGCUGUCCGCAGGAUGGCUCUUUCUGUCCGUCCUUGCACUAUAUCUACUGUUCGCGUCGCGAAUGGUACUCAAGAGCUUAUCAAUGGCUCGAUUACCGCUAAGCUCCGUAUAGGCUCCUUUCAUGAAACAGUCACACUACUUGUUUUAAAGCAAGGUGUUCCAGGCGUUGAAGUUAUUCUCGCUGAUGGCUGGUUGGAGCGGACGAAAGCGAAAAUGUGUUGGGAAUCACAUAUGCUUACGGUACGGAAAGCUACCGGCGGUACUGUUGUCCUGAAGCCUUCCUUUUGGCCUUCGGAAGACGACAACGAUCACUUGGAUGGUAUUGCCAUCAUGAAUUACGUUACCGCCACUCUCUAUGCUGCGAGUACGGUGGAAACGAUGUCAGCUAAGGCAGCUGCACGGAGGAUUGCCAAAGGAGCACGAAGCUAUUUAAUGCUUGUGCAAUCUGAGCUCAUUUCUGAAUCCUCGGCGUUUGUGGAGUCACGUUCUCCCGACACCGACGUAAUCCCCGAGGCAACAUUGCAAGGGUUGCUUGACGAAUACAAGGAUGUAUUCGAAGAGCUCAAAGGCCUUCCUCCAGAUCGCGAAGUAGGUCAUACGAUUCCACUAGUGGAAGGGGCUGUACCGCCCGCUAAACGAUCGUAUCGGUUGACUCAAUUAGAGCGCCAAGAGGUCCGCAAACAGGUCACCGAAUUGUUGAGUAAGGGCUACAUAGAACCCUCUACUUCACCUUAUGGUGCGCCCGUUAUCUUUGUGGAAAAAGCUAACGGCCAGGGCCUUCGCAUGGUCUUGGAUUACCGUGCGUUAAACAAAAUUACGAUCAAGCGGCGAUAUCCUAUGCCAAACAUUACUGACCUCUUCGAUCAACUCCAAGGGGCUAAGAUAUUUAGUUCCCUGGACUUACAGCAGGGCUACAACCAAAUUCGCAUUACACCAGAAGAUGUUGCGAAAACGGCCUUUAUCGCUCCGGGAAUGGGCCAAUACCAGUUCAAAGUGCUGUGCUUUGGACUCACAAACGCCCCUGCUACGUUCCAAGCGGUGAUGAAUCGGAUCUUCGCCGAACACAUUGGCAAAUUUGUGCUGGUGUACUUGGACCACUCUGGGAAAAAGGGGGGGUCGAGAUUCCAUAAAAUGAGGCUCUCUUUUUCCAUAGAAUGAGGUCCUAUUUUUCCAUAAAAUGACAUGUCCUUUUCCAUAAUAUCUCCACAAUUUUAUGGAAUGCGGCCACGCCCCACUGCCAAAAAAGGCGGGCGGUAGCCUUUCACCCCAGGAAGACGGUUGGUAACCUGUACGGCAGUACUACAGGGCCGAGAAUGGUGGGCGGUUACCUGUACGGCAGUCCAGCUACCUUUCACACCGGCGCUGACCUUUAAGGCAGUCCACAGUCAUGUUAAUCUUUAUGCUAUGUGUUGAAAGGUUACAGAGUAGGAGUUUUCUGGGCCCCUGGAACACAAUGUCAUUCCUAGCCACUAUACAGCACCGUCCACCAUGACUAUAACUGCUGUACUAACUGUGAGUCCAAGGCCGGUGACCCCUGUCGCCUAGGCUCCCUUCUCGUCCAUUCGCACCAAUACACUGCGCGAAUCUGGUCCAUCAAUUCCACAUCUCGUAAGCUAGCCAUAAUCCCCGGCUCCAGGCAAUGUCAUGGGUUCGCAGACAUCGAACCCAGGACUUUGAACUAAUGCUAAAGGGUGGCAGCAGCAUGGACAAGAAACCCAACCAAAAAUGAAGUACCAUACCGCUAUGGCCGAUUGGUGAUUUCUGGAUUGGUGAAAGUAAAAAACGCUUCUAGAAAUAAUCUUAGGGACACCGGGAUUGUUGAUACGGUUUGGUGUUACCCCCUCCACUUUUUCCCAUUGCCACCGAAUUGGUGAAAGCCGCCAACCGGACUGCCCCCCGUUCACUGUGGGCCCUCCGAGGCACCCCAGGCCCACAUCAACCAAUCUGCAGUCGCAUGUAAACGUUUCUAGAUGCACGCCGUCGCAUACAGCAUCGCGCGCGCGUGCAGCAAAGUGACCCUUAAACUCAUGCACAGUUUGUCUAGCCUGGAUCCAGAACGUACAUGGAUUGGUGAUGGCCGCCGCUCAAUCCCAGCCAGGAUUAUCCUGUGCUAAUGGAUUGGUGAUUUUCACCAAUCCAGUGUCACCAAUCGGCCAUAGCGGUACGGUAAUGCUGUCGUCUUGACCCAUGCCAGAACUCAUGCCAUAGGAAGUAAUCCGGCUUAAUUGCAUUUGUGACAUCAACAAUUUUAACACACAACACAAUACCACGAUUCUAUGGGGACAGGCUUUCACAUAUAGACUCUCCCCAAGAACCAUACACAUUUUCCGAUGCGUGGUACAUAGUCACAUUAGAAAGUAACUUGGAGAAUUCCAACAGCGCUUUUUGGAUCCGCACGUUUGAACCCAACGGCUGAGUACUUGCCCCAGGCAGCAGGCGUUGACUUAGUGCCACUCCGAACAGUAUUGUUGUGAUCCGCAAGUUUGAACCCAACAGCUGAGUACUUGCCCCAGGCGGCAGGCGUUGACUUAGUCGUUUCACUCCGAACAGUAUUGUUGUGAUCCGCAAGUUUGAACCCAACAGCUGAGUACUUGCCCCAGGCGGCAGGCGUUGACUUAGUCGUUUCACUCCGAACAGUAUUGUUGUGAUCCGCAAGUUUGAACCCAACAGCUGAGUACUUGCCCCAGGCGGCAGGCGUUGACUUAGUCGUUUCACUCCGAACAGUAUUGUUGUGAUCCGCAAGUUUGAACCCAACAGCUGAGUACUUGCCCCAGGCGGCAGGCGUUGACCUAAGUCGUUUUCCGCACUGCCUGGUCCAGAUAUGCAGACUGUAAACAGAUAGCUUUUCAACUGUAAUGGCACAAGCGCGUUGACCUGAGACAGCUCGUGUUCAGAAUCGCUGUUCCGAAUAUGCAGCUGAUACCGUGCAGGAGCUUAGACCAUGGUCUGUCCCAGACCGCGCACAAACAACAUGCAGCAGAUCCACCUUUUUCCAAAGCCGCAUGAACCAAAACCUCUGUGAAUUGCAGACCGCCCAGAGAGGAGCCGCCAGUUUAACUCCAGAUCCUUGUCCAUGUCCUGUGUGACAUAUCCCUGUGACUCCAGUUUGGGCAGCUCAGUCCAGAACCCUAUUUCCUUUCAAAAAGCAGCUGAUCUCAGUAUUAUCUAACAAAUGAUGUACAACUGUAGCCCAGGGAAAAGUCUGUCUGGAAGAUGUACUUGGAUAUUUGUACAUGACAUUGAUUCUGUCUGUCAUUCCGAAUAAUUAAUAAUCUCCUAGGAAUUACAUUUUUUCACCAGAAGGCAUGAAAUCUGACACAAAUGAGAUGGGAGUGGCCACUAGUCAACCAGGACAUGCAACCUCCUAAAUUGUAAAGGGUAGUACUAUACCCGAAUCCACAUUUUUUAACAAGGGAUGUGGACACCGAACACAUUCUGACACCCCCAAUAUCGAAAAGCAAACCGUUAGCGCUUAUGAGGCGAUUUAACAACGGGGACAACAUGCAGGACGCUGAUGCUGCAUUGCACAGCUGAGAUCAGCUGUGAUAUGCAUGCCCGGAUGAUGUGUGGCCAGUUGCACCGUAUGGCGCUACACUGAUAUGCAUUUCGACAACUGAGAUCAGCUGUGCAAUGCAGCUGAUCUCAGUUGUCGAAAUGCAUAUCAGCGUAGCGCCAUACGGUGCAACUGGCCACACAUCAUCCGGGCAUGCAUAUGCAGAGACCAAGACAGAAACGGGGCUGGCUCCAUCAUUGCAGUCCGAAAGCGACCCAUGCAGGAAGCGUAACAUUGCUGACAAGACACGAUACAUGUCAUGAGUAGCGCUACUUUAUCACGCCAACUUACGACAGCAGCAACGUGACAUACAUGCGUUCAGGUGACACACAGCAGCAUUUCUAAAAUGUCUCAAAUGAAAAAAAAUCCGGUAGAAGCAGGAAAGUCUACCGCAUGGAUUAACAGGCAGCUGCCACGCAACGACGACAAACAAACGGUGCUCGAAUGGUUAAUCAUGGAUCCGACUAGCUAAGCUUGUCCGGUUAACAACGGCGUUGGCAUAGUAAUGUCAUUCAAUAGUAGUUGAACAAUUCUGCUCGCAAGGAGCAGUGAACUGCAAUCGCGAAGGAGUCCAUUCUUGCGGACUAUAACGUUUGCAGACACUAUUGCUUACCUACACAUAAUGAAUGCGUAAUACAGUCGGUAAGUGCGCAUGUUUCAAUGACAAAGGUAUGUUCUGCGUAUCAUCCAGCAGACCACCACUGUUAGUCCAGAACGUCAACACAGUCAAGGCGUACACCUGUAAACUGUCGCUUUCACAACUGUUCAUGUACAUUGGCAAAUGCGUUAUGGCAUUACCUGCGGUUGCAUGUCUGUUGGCGUUCACUACCUGCAGGGCCAAGGCAUCCGGAGGUGAAAAAAAGGCAUGCCGAAUGCGAAAUGAAAUAAGCUUCAGUCAUGUUAAACAUAUGCAAUAAUGAAGGAUUGGAGGCGAUAGAAGGCACGCACUCAUCAGAGAAAUAAGAUGGCGGCCGGCUGGCCUUGUCCACGGAUAAGCCGCCUUGUGCCUAUUAGGAAUGCAAGGCCCUGCGCUGAUGGAAUGAAAUAUGAAGCACUGUGCUUAACAGUAUGAAUGUAAGUAGGUACCGAAGAUGCGAAUGUGCCACAUAUAUGAGGAUCGUUUAAGUGGGCCUUAUCCGUAGCAUCAAGUAUUCCCUGUGACAAUGAAUGUCGUUACCAUCGUGCAUGACCCUUAGCCAAUAAACUGUUGAUAGUAGCAACGAUGCAUUUCUAGCAAACAAGCAGCUGUUAAUCACGACAAAACUAGGGCUCUAAGAGGGGCUGUUACUUGGCGAGCCGGCACGAUGGCAUAUGACCUGUUGGAAGUAUUAAUAAUGGAAUCUAUUCACUUUUGGUAAUGACCUGUCAUAUUAGCCCGGCUGGGCAUCUUGCGCCCCGCUAGCUCAUAUGGAUGCGUUGCAACGCAUGCGUUAUGAUUGCGCAAUCAUAUGACCAAUUGGGCAUGCAUAAUCCGAGACAUAUCGUGGCACUGGCUAUGUUGAGUCAUAAAAUUCUAUCUGCCCGUGACGGUCAGGUAUUCAUGCAGCUUGUGCUGAGUAGUAAAAGUGUCAAGUUCCGCACGUGAGCAGGGGCAUCCACUGUAUAAAACCGGAGGCGACAGAUGGUGUACUGGUACUGAAGCGGGUAUGGCGGGGGACCUGUGUGUCAAUCACCUUACAGGCCUCCAGUCUCCCAGUCUGGGGCAGGCUCCCACUCUGGCCUGCACCCUCCCAGCCUCCUAGGUCUGGCCAACCUGGCCCCAAGCCUCUCAACCAAUGCCCUUUGCAAACUCCCAAACUCUUGGGAUCUCUGCCUCACAACUUCCCAGCCUCACAGUCCCCGAGUCUCCCAGACUUCCAGGCUCCCAGACUAGUAACCUCCCAAACUCUCAGGCUCCCAAACUCUCAGUACCAAGACUCACAGGCUCCCUGGCUCCUAGCCCCCUAGGCUCCUAUUCUCACAGGCUCCAUAUCUCCCAGGCUCCCUGGCUCACAGUCUCCCAGGCUCUCAGUCUUCCAAACUCCCAUGCUCCCAGGCCUCUAAAUUCCCAUUUCCCAGCGGCUGAUAGUACACACUAUUCCUACUCAUAUUGGCCUCCACGCUGGACAAGAAAGGUCGCUGCUGCUCAUUGUUUUUGUUGUUGCUGAUGAUGUUGCUGGUCAUACACAAGCCACGCUGGUCACUACGUGAUUAUGAAUGGUGUUACUAAUGCACAUGUCAUGAAGCAUCCAAAACAGCUGCAUGAGCAGCAGCUUUGCGGAGAUUCUCAAGGUACUCCACGGGGUGCAGAUAACGCUGGCCAAUUCUGUUGCAUGAAUUCAAAGGCAGGAGAGCAGGAGCAACACACACAGUGCAAAAUGAGUAUUGGCAUGUAUGUGGGGGCCUUUUCACAUACAUUCUAAACAUCAUAGCUUGACUUCAUCCAAACAUUAGUUGGCAUGACAUACAAGUGCUGCAGAAGAAUAAGGCUGAGCAGGAAAUGAGGAUAACCAUGCUUUAUGACUACCCAGGCACAGACAUUGUGGCAGCCCAGUACUCACUCCUCGGGUUUUUUGUUGUACUCCUCCACAAGGAACCCGAGUACUUCACGGCGCUUGUCUUCCGGGGGCAGGGUGUCCGACAUGAGCAUCAUAAUACGGACACGCAUGUAGUCACGCAGCAGAGAAGCAUUACUUGGUAGGAACCAGGUCUUGCACAUGAAUGUGCUUGCAUCCGCGGCUUCAGGUCGAGGGUCCAGCGCACGCACAUCUGUUUUGUUGUUGUUGGGUUUAGGGUGCAAACAUGGUAAUUGCAGGUCUACUUUUGUGUGUGUGUGUGUGUGUGUGUGUGUGUACGUGUGUUGAGUGUGUUGUGUGUGUGUGUGUGUGUGUGUGUGUGUGUGUGCAGACAUGGGUUUUCAUCCAAUGCAUUUGGUAUUGUGCAGGAAAGGUUGGAGCUGCCCUACUGGAGUACAUGUAGGUAAUCAUGUAUUCAACACAGCCCACCUUAUACGAAAGUUAGGGUUAAGGGGCCUACUAGCAUAAAUACAACAGUACCCCUACUUUUGACAUAUUGAACCUGCUUUUGGCUGUCACAUAACAGCUUCUGCCUGGUGAUACCAGUUGCAUCCCUGCCAUGCAGGGGCAGCAGCUGGUACAAACGAACAGGAGUAGCAAAACAGUUGCACUUCAGAAUAUGCCAAUCUUAACUUCAUGAUGGACUUAGGGUUUGGACAUGAUAGGACUUGCACACAAGACAUGUACAUUACCCACCUGGAGCAGAACUCCCUUUGCUCAAAACACAGCGUGGGUUUGCCGACAUGAAGAAGUCCACGUAGCACAGCAGGAACAACCCACAGUCUACCGUAUUAUUUUGGCUUGGGAUGCGUUCAGCCAUGCUGGUGCCAGGCACCUCACUCCAGUACAAGCCGAAAUCAGGCAUGUUUAUGUCAGCUGCAGCGAGUCUCUCCUUGCAGCUACGUGGUACCGAAUCCAGCCCUUCAUCUGUCAUCUUGCACUGCCACUCAAGUGCAAGGUAGCCGCGCAGCACCGCAAAGAUGGCUUGUGAAUCGUGUGUUCCUGGAGCCAUGUCAUUAAACAUCGUCAGUCGUUAAUUUAUAAUCCCCUAUGAUGGAAUGAAAUGACAGGGCUGCCCCAAUGGCUGAGGGACAUGUGUCAGCCGCAGCCGCAUAUUCACACCACCUGAUGGAAGGUUUUACAUGCCCUUUGUCCAUGUUACAUGUAUUCUACAGCAUGCAUUCAUGUCAACCUAGUAAACCAUCCUACUGACAUUGUGUCUUCAACCCUGCCGCAGGAUUACAUGCAAAACAUGCAUGUAAUCUGCUUCAAUUAGUAACUACCCUAACUUGCUAUCUGCCUGCAAAAUAUUUGUCUCCACACAGUCCACGUAUGCAAAUUGUACAUCCAGCAGCAGGCGUUCACGACCUACACACAUAUCCAAGUAACUUACCUUCCAUAGAGUUCAGGUGCAGCAUGAGGGGCUUGACACAUGUAGCAUCCUGCAAAACGCCACAUGCCUGCUGUGCCCCCACUGCAGGUAGCAGGUUCUCCUGAAUCCAUGUCGCGAUGCUGCCAGGAUGACAAAUAAUUACUAGCGACCAGUGUUGUUGCCCAUUGAUGGGCACGACAAUGUAGUCUUUGCUGAACAGGUCCACGUUCUGAACAUGUCAUGAAUGGGCAUCAGACAAUCAUUCGAUUGCAACACAAUAUUUGAAGACACCUGGAGUGCUUGUUAGGGUCAUGGUCGUCGAGUUAUUCUAAUGGAAUGACACAUACAAGGCCUAUGCAACUGGUCAACAUACCUUGGUCCACCUCUUCACCAGGUUGUGAUCCUCCUCAGCAAUCAAGGUGCAACCGGCUAAGCCACUGUGCUUCUCUAGCAGCUUUGUGAAAAAGAAGGGGCUGAAGAUGUGGAAUCGCUGCUGUACGUCUGCUGACAAGCGGCUCUCGAUGUACCUGGAAGUGGGCUCAAGCAGUGUUCCAUCAAACAAAGGACCCCAUGCAAACCUAUGUCUUAGGGUUGUACAUGGAGCACAGGGCAAGUAAUGCAGUAAACAGGUCACAGCACUUGAACCCCACCAUCCUUGCAACCUAUACUUGGGGUCCUGCACUCUAUUGGGGACAACUGCCUGUUGCCCUACCGACACCAUAAUUUUCCAACUUGUAACUGUUACAUUAGAGGUAGCCUCCUGCUUGCGGUUUGGCAUUCCGGGGAUGCUUUCAAACCCAAGCUUCCACACAGCAAGCAGCAAGCUUACUUCAGGAAAAAUUCGAUGCACGUGUCAUUCAGCAUUUCAUCGGGCUGUAGCUGCAUCAAGUCCUCAACCCUCACAGUGAUGCUUCCCACGCCCCCACGUGGGGGGAAGGUGCAGAUAACGCCGGCCAGCAUUGCUAACGUCGUGUCCUUGGUCAGCUUGGCUGCCCCUUGACCGCAGUACCGCUGCCAAAGCCACAUGUGAUGUUGAUGAGCCUGCCGACAAACCGGUUUGGACACAAUGACCGUGGGAUGAACUUUGCUAAGGCUGCCUUGGCACGAAUUGGUGAAAGAUGAUGACCAGUCAGUCAUGAGGUAUAAAGAGAGCGCUGCUGAACAAGGGCUACUGCAUAUGCGGGUGAAGUGCCCUAGUACGACCAUGCUAUGUAGCCAAGGCAAAGCAGAUUACAGAGCUCAUGAUCAGGCUUCGAGGAGUGGUGCCAUCAGAAGUGCACUACUAGGGUGCAUAUGCGAUCAGCUGCCUGUCUUCCACACGAACUUCAGCAGCUGGUUUGUCAGGCUGCUAUAGACGCAAAGCGCCCGUGUGCUAAACACCUUCAGAGUUCAGGGAGAACAUGUCAUGAAGCCGCUAUGUCCUGGCUUGUUACCUGCGUCGCCUUGUAUCCAUAUAUGGCAUUGGACAGCAAAAGAGAAGUGACAUGAACAUUUUUUGUAGGCAUGCAUGGCAACCGCCGACCCUCAUUAUGCUACUAUGGUGCGGGAUCCCUACAUACAUCUGUACAUUUGCUUGCCGCCUCUUCCUUUGCCGCCUUGAUCCCCUGCCGCCUUUACCCCUGCCCCCUCCUCCCCAGCCGCCUCCGCCCCUGCCGCCUUCACCUCUAUUCCCUUCCGCCUCUGCCCAUGCCGCCUCUAUCCCCUACUGCUUUCUCCCCCGCCGUUUCCUCCUGCCGCCUACACCCCUUCCGCAUCUAUCCCCUGCCCCCUCUGCCCUUGCCUCCUUGAUCCCCAGCCGCCUCCACCCAUGCCCUUUAAACCCCUCACGCCUCAAUCCCCUGCCAACUCCUCUCCUGCCGCUUCAGCCCCUGCCGCCGCCGACCCUGCCCCCUCUACCUCUGCCCCCUCCUCCCCAGCCGCCUCCGCCCUGCCGCCUUCACCUCUAUCCCCCGCCGCCUCUUCCCUUGCCGCCUCGAUCCCCUGCCGCCUCCACCCCUGCCCUCUAAACCCCUGCCCCCUCCUCCACAGCCGCCUCUGCCCCUGCCCCCUCCACCCCUGCCCGUGCCGCCACUAUUCCCUGCCGCCUCUAUCCCCCGCCGCCUCCUCGCCUGCCGCCUCCUCGCCUGCCACCUCUAUCCCCUGCCGCCUAAGCCUCUGCCAUCUCUAUCCCCUGCCGCCUGUGGCCCUUCCACCCCCCCCCUCCCACCUCGCUCCCUCUCUCUCCUGUUGAAAGGAAUACAAGCACCACGGUGCAUUGCGUCUGUGAGAGCCAACCCAUGCCAAGCCACUAAGGAACCCAUGUGGUGCAUGAAAACUUGGCAUGCACAAAUCCCCAUUCACAACCCCCUUUUCCUCCCCUUAUCCCACAUACAUCCCUCCCUUGUGGCCGUGAGCUCGGCCACAGUCUGUAACAGGCGAUGAAAGCAGAACCGCUGACUGCGGGCAUCUCUGCGAGGAGCUGCGGGUUGACCACUGGCGCUCUUGUGGCCCACGGCCACAAGUGGUGAGUCACUCCAAUAAUGAGCACAUUGGCAAAUGCGCAUUUGCAACGCUGAGCAUCAGGACAUGGAUUUCGGUGGCGGCAUAGCUCUCACGGUGAGAGGAGCUGUACAUUUAGCUAGGACAGACUUUGGGUUUCUAACCGACAUGUCCGUUGUACGACGGAACCGUGAGACCAGGACGCCCUCCCCGACCUGCAACAGCUGUUUGAAUCGAGCUCGAAGCUGUAAUGCAUAUUCACGUGUACAUGUCUUCCUUUUCUUCGCGGCCAGCUGUUGCAACACUCGAUUCCACGUCUAAACCAGUAAGCGCCUCGAAUUAACGUUGGCAAAUAUUUGAAUGACAUACAACCUAUUGAAAACGUCUGGAUAAGUUCAAUCCAAUUCAAGCAAGGACUUGACACCUGGGAAGGAACGAAUGACAUGGCAAAGCGAGGGCUUGCUUGUAGAGUGCAAACACAAGGGAUAGCUUUCGGAUGUAGCGGCGGUCACUCCAAAGUUGGCUUAGAGGCAUGGAAUUAUGAUACGGCCGAAAUUCCGCGGAAUUUGCACGUCGAGUCAGCAGGUACCGUGGCCACAGCGGAUCGUAAACGAUCAUGUACAAUCUUCUUUGAUAUACAUUUCUUAUGGCACUGACACUUCCUGGAUCGUAUGCUAAGCACGAUACGGCAAGGUACCACUGCAGCUGUCGGACAUGCGUGCAACGAUGGGAAUAAUUGUUGAUGGAGACACAAAUGACUUUGUUAUGCCAUUUCCUGUUACAAAUGAUGGAGAAGAGAGGCAACAACAGGAAGGGCCUUAUGGCAGUGCGAUACCCAUUUUCGUGCUAAGCUUGUGCUGAACAUCCAAAGCCAAGUUCAGCUUAUCAGAUUCAUGCACACAGUUAAUGAUGCCCCUGAGGACACGGGCCGUUGAGAAACGGUUUGUCCGACAGUUACGCACUGGGCGUAAUGCCCAACUUGCCAAACAGCUUGCAUUAUAAUGCAAUUAAGCUGGGUUAACUGGGCAUAAGGAAUAAAGGACGACGCUGGCGCGGCCAGAGGAUGACACUGCUGCCGCGGCCAGAGCUCCCUGAUGCAAUAAUAGCAAGCACUGUCAAUUCCGAAGCAUGUCCUUAAAAAAACGUGUUCCUCUAUUAAUUAAUUCCCUGGCCCGGUAAAAUGCAUUUUAUGGAAGGCGAGUGGGACACUAUGGAAACAAAGUACCGUAUGGAAGACGAGCAACGCUUUAUGGAAGACAGACUGAGGAUGGCACUCCUGACGUGCUGCUGCAUUACAAGCAAGAAGUGUCAAUAAAGAAGUAUGUACCUGUGAAAAUAGACAACAAAAACAAGUGCAGUUCGGGCAUUCCAUAUCCCCCCAGAAGUGCAUUUUACGGAUAGGGAACCCAUUUCAUGGAUAGGGAACCCAUUUCACGGAUAGGAAACCCCAUUUCACGGAUAGGAAACCCCAUAAUAUGGAUCCUGAACCAUUUAUGGACGAUGGCUUUUCCCAGAGUGGACGAUAUUUUGGUCUUCAGUAAGACCAAGGCCGAGCAUGAACAACACCUAAGGGUGGUGUUGUCCGUGCUUCGAAAGCACGAAUUCAAGGCAAAGAUGUCUAAGUGUCAGUUCAACCGGACCGAACUGCACUUCCUGGGCCACGUAGUCAGCCGUGACGGCUUGAAAGUAGACGAGCGCAAAGUUAAAGUUGUUAAAGACUGGCCGGUACCAACCGACGCCUCCAAACUGCGCGCGUUUCUUGGCUUAGCCAAUUAUUUUCGGAGGUUCAUCCAGGGUUAUUCCUCUCUCGUGGCCCCCCUCACAACCCUAACAAGUGCGAAGGUGCCCUUCCACUGGACAAAGGAGUGUGAUACUGCCUUUCAGGGUGUGAAAGAUGCCUUGACAAACGCACCAGUAUUAAAACUCCCUGAGCUUGACAAACCCUUCGUAGUUUGGUCUGAUGCUUCGCUGCAUGGCACUGGCGCCGUCUUGUUACAAGACGACCGACCCGUUGCUUAUACAUCUUCAAAAUUCAGCAGCGCGGAAUACAAUUAUUCCACUACAGAUCAAGAAUGCUUGGGCACAGUCCUGGCAAUGGAAGAAUGGCGUUGUUACUUGGAAGGUGCGAGUCAUGUCACCCUAGUAACGGACCAUCAACCUUUGGUCUAUCUGCAAGAGCAGAAAAGCGCUGAUAAACUUUCCAGAAGGCAAGCUCGAUGGUUGGAACGAUUGUCUCGAUUCCAGUUUACUUGGGAGUACCGCCCCGGACGGAUUAAUGUCGCAGACCCUAUUAGUCAGGUUCACGACAUGGUGCUAAAUGUGCUUACGGCCUCGCUGGCGGACAGCGACUUGGGACACCGAAUCAAAAGCGGGUACGACGGUGAUCCGAACCUUGCUAAAAAUAAGGUAGCCAAGCUGCAGUUAAAACGAAGGAAUGGAUUCUGGUAUCGGGGAAACCAGCUCUAUGUCCCUCACAACGCUGAACUGCGAAGAGACAUCUUGACAGAGUAUCAUGAUGUCCCAUACGCAGGCCACCGCGGUAUUGACCGCACCAAACAAGCGAUCGCACAAACAUAUUGGUGGCCAGGGCUUGACUCUGACGUCAAAGAACACGUCAAAUCAUGUCCCAUUGUCAGCAUAACAAGCCAACAAAUGCUAAGCCGGGUGGAUUACUGCAGCCCCUUCCCAUUCCAACGGAGGUGUGGGAAAGCGUGACAAUGGAUUUGGUUACGCAGCUACCGACAUCCCGCAAUGGGCACGAUGCGAUUGUAGUGUUCGUGGACCGGCUGAGCAAAAUGACGCACUUUGCUCCCACACACACAACCGCUACAGCUGAAGAUGUAGCCCGCCUCUUUGUGGCUACCGUCUUCAGGCAGCACGGCCUUCCAAAGAACAUUAUUUCAGACCGGGACUCUCACUUCACAAGCAACUUCUGGAAGGAAACAUUUCGCCUGUUGGGCACCCACCUCUAUAUGAGCACAGCUUUUCACCCGCAAACAGACGGGCAAACGGAACGCAUGAAUCGUGUUCUGGAAGAGACACUCAGGCACUACAUCUCACCCACUCAAGAUGAUUGGGAUGAGCAUUUGCCACUGAUUGAGUUUGCCAUAAACAACUCAAAACAGAAGGCAACGGGGACAACUCCGUUUUCCCUGAAUGGUGUUCGGCAACCGCGUGUUCCGGUUGACCUUCACCUAAAAACCAAGGUGCCGGCCGCUCAGAAGCAAGAAGCAAUGCUUCGCGAGCGUAUAAGCAAAGCUAAAAAGUGUCUCUUGGCUGCGCAGCAAGUCCAAAAGGACGACGCCGACAUGCAUAGGCGUCCAGUGCGUUACGAGGUUGGGCAGAAAGUGCUGUUAAGUACCAAAAAUAUUACAUUAAAAACCCCUGGAACCAAGAAGCUGAUGCCCAAGUUCAUCGGCCCAUACACGGUUGUUGCUCGCGUGGGCGAAGCUGCGGUAAAACUGGACUUACCGGCGGCCUCCCGCCUACACCCGGUCUUCCACGUCUCUUUGUUGAAAUUGUACAAAGAAGACGUAAAGCGACAGCCACCGGCGCCACUCGUCAUUGAGGGUGAACCGUAUUUUAUGGUCGAAGCCAUUGUCGACCAUCGUGAUGUUUCAGUCCGAGGGGGACGUGGAAAGACACGUCGAGAGUACCCUACCAAAAUGGAAGCGUGCUAAAGAACGUUCCUGAGAACGCUAAGAAUGCUAAGAACGGCUUAAGAAUGCUGGUGCUGCUGAGAAUGAUCUUAUGCCAGUCUCAAGCAUUCUUAUGACGGUUUUAAGAAAGAAUGGCUUUGAGAAUGCAACAGUGCGGAAAACUUAGCAGAAACACGCACAAGUUACAGUGGUUUGCCCCUUCCAUAUAUAGUUCAAGCAGGAAACAGAGAGUCAGUCCUGUAUUCUGAAAUAAGUUCAUAGUGCUGAAAUCAUCCACAAGACCGACCAUGAGGGCCCCUACUGCUCUGGACCCGCGGGUAAGGCCCUUCGAAAACUAGUACUGGCUGGCACCAGGAAGUCGCCCCAGUAUACAAGUGAAGCAGACACGCCCCAACAAUCAACUAUCCAACGAAGGAUUUAGUCAGUCAACGUAUGGAACGGGCCCCAAGCAAUUUCUGUCGAUUUGCAUAUUAAUGUGCCACUCCCAUUACCUAUUACUUCACAAUACGUCCCUGUGCACAACAUGUGCACAACAUUCAUUCGGUUAUCCAUCAGCCAUACCAUCAGCUGUACCUUCAUUGAGAAGCCCUGCCCAGGCCACGGUCCGACCAUUCGAGGGCCUGGGCGACCAUGCCCACCAGUCCCCACGAUUUGCCCUCCACUCCACCGAUGUGUUACUAACGAUUGCCCCUCAAGAGCAAGCCACAAGGGAUUCAGAGGUCUUGCAGCGCUAAUAUUAAUGUGCUGCUACCGUGACCUCGCCCAUGGGGUCUGCGGCUGCAGGGCCUCCCAGCCAGCCACCCGCAUGAAGCUGUAGCUUCUUGAAAGAACACACAGGGCGCCCCGCUUACUGGGAUGUGGCAAGAUGUGCACUCGGCAAGGCGCAACAUCCUCAGCCAGGUAGUAACGAGAGCCUGUGUUGGACACACUGGCAGCCCUUGCGUCCACCAAGGGGACAUUCAUGAACUGGUCGACUGCAACUUCGGCAUCACUGUUGUUCCCCAGCAGGGGAGCAUGCCAUUCGACCUCCAGCACCACAUCGAACUUAUCCCUGUUCAAUGGCGACCUGUAGCGGUACAAGCCCAGCACCUUCCCCGCCCACAUUUUGUCGCUGGAGUUGCAUCUCCGGGUGAUGAACCAGCAGGCCUGUGAUGUCUUAGGCUUGUUGCUAUCGAAUGCAGUGAGCUCCACGUUGUUGUUGAGCUUGAUGGCCACGAGCUUCUCCAAGAACCUGCCUGCGAGAUGUAUACCACUGAUUGGCUUUGACCCCAACAGCAAACCCGGCUGCACCCACACAUCUUGGCACCACAGCUCACUGAGGCAGCACUUGGCAAGCACCUACAGAUGCAGGCAAGAGGCACACCAGCAGAUAGGUACGUCACGGUCGCUCAAGGUGGUGAGUGUAUUUACCAAGUUGUAGCGAUGAAGACAGGCAUGCAUCGCAGGGCAGUCACACCAGGUUUCACACCUUGUUCCGCAUGGACACAGAGCCAUGGCUGUCCCGGUGCAACAGCGUCCUUCUUGAGUGGGUCCUUAGCCUCAUGUGUGAAAGAUAGUCGGACAGGAAUGGCCCCGGGGUCGUGUCAUCAGUCCACUGCUCCCACAGCCAGGCGGUGAAGACACCAAAUAAAUCAGAGUAGUCGGUGCUGUGGCGCAGGUAAGUCUCAUGCAUCUCCAGGAGGAAGCCUUCCGGAAGGUUCUCGCGCCAUGCCUGCUUAAAUCCUAUUGCAGCGUUUCCGGAGAAAGUGUCAACGCUGGGGCCGGUGGAAUUAGUGACUGUCCAAUACGCCUUCUGCUGAUGGGUCAACUUUCCAGCGGACACGGCGUCCUGUGGGGGUUCAAAAGUGCAGAGGCCCUCGGGUAACCUCUCAGCAGCUAGAAUCACCGACUCCUUAUGUAUCCAGCUGCGCAUACAGGUAGCCUCGGGGUACUGCUUGUUCUUCAUCAGCUUCACCAAAUGGUUCCAUAGUGAUUCGUAGCCCCACAUCGCGGUUGUGAAACUUGGCCCAAGGUGUUCAAUUCGCUCCGCGAGGUGCAGCAGCUGAUGCAACUUCAUGUCUAGCUCGCAGGAAGGCAGGUGAAUCUCCAUCAGUGUCACGGCACGAGCGACGCCAUGUAGGAUUGGCAAGCAGUCCUCCCGCGGCACGGCCUUGUCCAUCAGGAAGGACACGCUGCAGAGCAGCUGCAGCAUCACCUCAAGCUGAGGAGAACCGAUUCCAGUGGCGUGGCCAAAGAUGUAGGCUCCAUAUGGGCUAGCAAGAAAGCACUAUGUGUGCAUCUUCACACUCUUUCCGGGCUUGAAGAGGCUGCGCAGGCGUGAUCCGCCACCGUCCCUUGAGGGGAUGACUGCUGCCACCGAUCCCACAGCUGAGGCCAUCCGAUCAACGCUGGGUGUCAACCAUGGCGUCCCCUCCCACGUCCAUCUGUUGACGUUGAGCUCAUGCCUGCAAGAGUGAUGUGCACAGNNNNNNNNNNNNNNNNNNNNNNNNNNNNNNNNNNNNNNNNNNNNNNNNNNCAAGACGACCGACCCGUUGCUUAUACAUCUUCAAAAUUCAGCAGCGCGGAAUACAAUUAUUCCACUACAGAUCAAGAAUGCUUGGGCACAGUCCUGGCAAUGGAAGAAUGGCGUUGUUACUUGGAAGGUGCGAGUCAUGUCACCCUAGUAACGGACCAUCAACCUUUGGUCUAUCUGCAAGAGCAGAAAAGCGCUGAUAAACUUUCCAGAAGGCAAGCUCGAUGGUUGGAACGAUUGUCUCGAUUCCAGUUUACUUGGGAGUACCGCCCCGGACGGAUUAAUGUCGCAGACCCUAUUAGUCAGGUUCACGACAUGGUGCUAAAUGUGCUUACGGCCUCGCUGGCGGACAGCGACUUGGGACACCGAAUCAAAAGCGGGUACGACGGUGAUCCGAACCUUGCUAAAAAUAAGGUAGCCAAGCUGCAGUUAAAACGAAGGAAUGGAUUCUGGUAUCGGGGAAACCAGCUCUAUGUCCCUCACAACGCUGAACUGCGAAGAGACAUCUUGACAGAGUAUCAUGAUGUCCCAUACGCAGGCCACCGCGGUAUUGACCGCACCAAACAAGCGAUCGCACAAACAUAUUGGUGGCCAGGGCUUGACUCUGACGUCAAAGAACACGUCAAAUCAUGUCCCAUUGUCAGCAUAACAAGCCAACAAAUGCUAAGCCGGGUGGAUUACUGCAGCCCCUUCCCAUUCCAACGGAGGUGUGGGAAAGCGUGACAAUGGAUUUGGUUACGCAGCUACCGACAUCCCGCAAUGGGCACGAUGCGAUUGUAGUGUUCGUGGACCGGCUGAGCAAAAUGACGCACUUUGCUCCCACACACACAANNNNNNNNNNNNNNNNNNNNNNNNNNNNNNNNNNNNNNNNNNNNNNNNNNACUUACUGGCGCAGGUUCCACCUCGCCACCAUGGGUGGGCACCUGCAUUGGCAGUGUCCAAAGUUAUUUACAUGUGUUAUCCUGUGUGUUAUCCUGUGCACAGUAAUGCACGACAAACAUUGGUCCCUACCGGGGUCAUGGCCACGAGCUCCACCUUUGUCCGUACUGCUGGCCGAGGCUCAUUGGCUGUCCUUGUGAUAGACUGUCCUGUGGCAUCUGUGAUGGGGUUCAGCACACUGGCAGGCCGCCUAAUCGGGUCGUCACCGUCCAGCCACGUCCAUGCUCCGGGAUAGUUGUACUUGUGGACGCCCUUGCUGCCAGCUGUCCAGCACUUAUAGCAGCCAUGUUUUACUCGUGGUGCCCCUGACAUUCGCAGCAUGUCCUCGAUGGCCCGGUAAUCCCCACCGGCCGUGAGAAGUCUAACCCUGACAUUGAUGUAGGACUCCGUGUGUGCAUCGAAAGUAUCCACCCCGCGCUCCGCCAGGCUUUCCAGCUCCCUGGACAGGAGCUUCAACACGCACCCAACACGCGGCCUCUCCCCCUCAUCCUUCUUUCGGGAACCUGGCAGGAUGCCAAGGACCGUUGUCACGCCGUGGGUGUACCUGAACCCAAGUUGGGCAGACAGGGUUGGCAAUGCAAUUGGAUGGAUGUGCAUGGCCCUACUGGGGGAUCCACUGACGACGGUGCCCCACCUUAUGUCUGGGCUGAAAUUGUAUGCUGUGAUGGCGACGGGGUACAGACUGUAACUAGCAUCGUCCUUGUAUGCCUGGACUCCAUCAGUGAAGACACCGAGGAGGAUGUCCGUGUCACGCAGGGGAGGCUGUCCACCUUGCUCAGAUUCCUUCAUGACGAUGUAAGCCUUGCCGUCUGUGAUGUCACAGAUGAACCCGUCUGGCAACCCACGUUCGGCAGCAGAUUUCGCAUGAUGCCUGAUUUCCUUGGAGUAGUGCUUCGAAGCAAAAAGCCUCCGAAUGUAGUCCGUGACACUUCUGCAGGGGAGAGGGGGGGGCGGCGUGGGGCAGGGUGGGCAGCUGUAGGUGAGCAGGCAUGGGCCAACUGGCUACUCAUACACAUGCACCAAUUGCAGUAGGCGCGGCAAAUGUUCAGGUACGCAUUAGCAAGAGCAGACAGUGAGGUGCGGUAUUGUCGGUGCUCUGGGCUCAAAUCAGGAAGCAGGAUCCAUCAAUCAGAGCACGCACCUGUAGAUGAAUUUUUUCGUGUUCCCCGCUCGCAGGCACCCACAUUCAGGAUUAAGACACACGGUGCUCUGGUGAUCGUCCCCUGCAUACAAACUCCCACACAUCACACAGUACUCGUAUGAUACGUAUCGGCAGUCUUCUUGGGUCAGGACUCGCUGAUCCUGGAGGAACGUCAGGAACUGGGCAUACUUGGUUGGCCUCUCAUCCUCUGGGAUCUUGCACCGCUUGUACUGAAGCUUCAUGAUAUCCUCACAUGCAGCCUGCGUAAGCUUGUUUUUGGACUUGAUUGCGAGCAUAUCGAGCAAGUCGGCGGAGAGGUUGGUAUAAAGUUUGCUCUUGUUUGUCCAGUCCACAUUAGGAAUCCUCCACUCUGUAUAAGAGCAGGUGAGUGUCCCCCCAUCACCACGCCCCGGCACGUAUGCCUCGUAAUCCACGCGUACUGCAGGCUCAUGGUGGUCAUGUCCCUGGCUAGGGGACGUGGGUGAAGCAGCUUCCAUGUCUGUAUUUUCGGUCGUGUCCAUGUCGUCAGGGGGUUCGUCCCAGUCAUCUUCGUCGGUCCCUGGGGUGGGAUGGGAUGGGAUUGAUUGAAGGGGUUUUGAGGAGCGACUCUUCACAAAUGGGCAACCGCCAAUCCCGACCCUGCCCUCGACCACGGAGUCUCACCCCCAGCUGUAUCUGGUGUGAUGAGUACCACAGCAUGCGGCAGAGUUGGAGGUUGCUGCAUUGUGAUCGGCGGGGCUGCGGUCGGAUCCAGGAGUCUGUCAGGUUGUCCAAUGGCCCGAGUGUAUGAUGCCGCUACAUAUGCAGGGUCCGCUGAGGCAGGCAGGGAGCGCACACCGCCCCCCCCCCCCAGUGGCGCCGGUGGCGUCGGGAUGCAUCAGCAGUCACCAAGCCGGCAGAUGUAUCCGAUGUCUGUUGGACAUUUGCCGCGCAUUGGGGGCAAAGACAAUACACCAAGUCGCUGGUGCGGGUGGCGCCGAGAUUAUUCGUUGUCACUGUCCCAAAAGCGACCAGCACCAGGAAGCCCAACAUGACCAAAGUCAGAGUGUACACCAACCAGUCAUCCUCCACGGGUUGCUUCUUUAUAUCAAGGGCGCCAAGCGGCCGGACCAUUGUCAGCAGAUUAUUGGAGCAUGGAUUCCGCUGUCUUUUAUCUAGUGAGAUAAAGUGCCUGCAUGGCUGAGCUGAUGGACAAACAAUGGUGCACUUCGAUCGUGGCAGCGGUCUUGACUGUGUACAUUCAUAAGACAAUCUUGGUCGAUUUAAAAAUGCUGACGAGAACAGUUGGCCGUGUUUUUGAAUUUGGAUCUCGAGACACCUUCGAAUUUUGGAUCAAGACGCAGUCGCAAAUGCAACAUUUCCAUUCAGCUGGUACUUCUACUCUGUUUAACCGGUAGCACUUAGCUCUCUUUAACACUUAGCUCUCUUCGUCGGAGAUAGAAUCUUACAAGGACAGGAGCGACAGCAACAAAACAAAGCAGCAAGCGCCCAGCUAACGGAAAGACCACCUUGCUGACAUUUGCCCUCACAGCACCGGCCCGAACCUCACAGGAUCGACAACGACUGCCAACACCUUGAACAUGUGGGGAGGAGGAAUGCAAACCCCCACAAAACGGAAACCAUACGCAAAGCACUCUCAACACUGUGCUUAGGAUUCACAGGGACUGACGGAAAGACCUAGCACAAGCACACCAGGGCACACACAAGGGCGCCACCCUGCCGGUCUGACCAUCAAGUCCCAGGCUAGACAGAACACGAGCACGUCUCAACCCAUUCAUGGGCCAGCUGCACGGUGGCAACACCGCCAGCUCAGCGGGUUUGUGGUCAUUCACCAGCCACAGCCAGGACUCCAGUCUCACCAGCCCCAAACGUUUGGGGUUAACCCCGCCCUCUCACACUCGAACUACAAGCUGGCCGCUCAUAGAUGGAAUCUGCCUGGCCACUGUGGAAUGGCAUCCGUGUGCAUAUUCAAUGCUCAGGAGAGGUGGAAUAGCCGACGGAGCUCCUUGUGGACAUAAGCCAGGCUGUAUGUCUCAUUUUCCAGAUCACCACCCUGAACAUACCAGUGGAGGCGCGGGCUCCAGGUGCCAGCCUUGCCAGCCGCCCCAGCAUGCACAGUGUUGCCAUGCAGGAAAAUGAUCUGGCCAGGCUGUCCCCGCAUCCUCAUGACUGGGUGACUCGGGAGGUGCGACACGAACCUCAGGGCUGUCUCGUCCGGCAGGGUCAAUGUGUUCGCCAGGGACAGGCCUGAUGGCGUGCCACCCCGCCCCGCCCCCUGACCGCUGUGGGGGCUGGCCUCCCCACCUGCCGCACUGCUUCUGUCGGCUCUGCUUGCAUCACCUGCUUCGGCAUCAUCUGCUGCUGCAGCAGCAGCUGCAGCAGCAGGCUCUGCCCGAGCAGCAAACGCCUGCACAGUGUGGUGGCUCCCUGGGCUCACCCACAGCUCGAUGUCCUGCUCCAAUGGCACGAUUGCAACAAACGACAUCCCUCUGCCAGGCUGCAUGUCCACGUGCAGCGUCUGCCGACGAAUGGGGGCUGUGCCGCCAGGGUUGUUGCCAAGGAUCACACCAGGCUUGACCAGGUGCAAGCCAGGGAUCCGCUCCACUAUGUCUUGGAUAACACCCUCCACGUAGGAUGCUAUGUUCGACAGGCUAGGCCCCGGCUGCACCUUGUCCAGCUUGACCAUCAUACGCCUCCCGGUUCCAUUGCUGAGUCGGAGCCUGCCCUCAUGGGUAAGCCGUGGUAGCCCUCCCUGCCGCGAGGGAAGGUCCCCACGCUGAAAUAUUGCUGCUGCCUUAUCGCCUGACACGAGCUCAGUGGUGCUUGUGGGAACAUCAGGAGUGAUCAGAGAGGCGAGGUGGGGAUCGUCUACUACCGCAAACCCCUCCUUGUCAAGCAUCACCGGGACCAUGUCUAUCGUGUGCUUGAAAAGGUCUGUUUCGAGUACAUGGCUGUCCUCUGGUUCCGGCUCAGAUUCCACGUCCGAGUCCGAUGAUGACUGGAUGGCCCGGUUCCUGGUGGGCCUUCGCCGAUGGCGAGACUCCCGAUAGGACACCACCGCACCAGCCAUGCGGCGGAUCUCUCGCUCAAGGUGUGCUUCAUCAUUGGGCAGCAGUCUCCUCCUCUCGUCUGCUGCUUGAGCAGCCGCCUCACCGCCACGGGCAUCCUCAGGCGCCGGCGGUGGCAGCUGCACAGUAGCAGAGGCGCCCCCCUCCUGCAGGCCGCAUUGCACGGAGUAAUGCACAGGAGGCACGUUGGGUUCACCAGGCUGGUCAACGGGCAGUGUCAUGCGGUGCACCCGUUGUGUGCUCUGUGGUGUACCCUCCCUCACACGGACCGCCCCGCCCCUCAGGCUCCACCCCCUCGUGCUGCUCCUGUGGAGUGUCAUUUGGUGCACCCGUUGCAUGCUCUGUGGUACACUGGUGUACCCUCAAUUAUGUAGACCGACCCCGCCCCUCAGGCUCCCCCACCUCCUGUCUUACCGUGCACGGAAACCGUGGGCUGGGCAUGGCAGCUCGUCCUGCAGCCGACGGGGAUGGCACAGCAGCCGCCUCACCGCCACGGGCGUCCUCCUCCUGCAGGCCGCGUCACACAGAGUGAUGCACAGGAGGCAUGACACGUUCGCCAAGGUUGGUCGACGAGCAGUCAUGGCAGCGGGAAGCAGACUUGCACCGAAGCCUUGGUAUACCGGAGUACACCACAGAGAACACAGCAAGCAAGUGCAUCUGAGGAUGCCCCCCUUCGUGCCAUCCCCAGCCGACACACUCCACCCCCUCGUGCUGCUCCUGUGGAGUGUCAUUUGGUGCACCCGUUGCAUGCUCUGUGGUACACCGGUGUACCCUCAAUUAUGUAGACCGACCCCGCCCCUCAGGCUCCCCCACCUCCUGUCUUACCGUGCACGGAAACCGUGGGCUGGGCAUGGCAGCUCGUCCUGCAGCCGACGGGGAUGGCACAGCAGCCGCCUCACUGCCACGGGCGUCCUCCUCCUGCAGGCCGCGUCACACAGAGUGAUGCACAGGAGGCAUGACAGGUUCGCCAAGGUUGGUCGACGAGCAGUCAUGGCAGCGGGAAGCAGACUUGCACCGAAGCCUUGGUAUACCGGAGUACACCACAGAGAACACAGCAAGCAAGUGCAUCUGAGGAUGCCCCCCUUCGUGCCAUCCCCAGCCGACACACUCCACCCCCUCGUGCUGCUCCUGUGGAGUGUCAUUUGGUGCACCCGUUGCAUGCUCUGUGGUACACCGGUGUACCCUCAAUUAUGUAGACCGACCCCGCCCCUCAGGCCUGCCCACCUGCUGUCCUGCCAUGCGUGGAUACCGUGGAGCGGCAUCAUCUGUAUCAUUGCGUCCCCUGUCUAUCUCCCGUUGCUGCUCCUCAUCGUCCGCCACCAGCCGGGUCAUGUUUGGGGCCCGCUUUCGCUUCCUGGUCUCGUUGCACACACCAAAGCCUAGAUGAACCAGCUCCUCUGACUGCAGGAGCAGCGACAGGGGACGGACGGGGGUCAGGGAGACCGCACGACACUCAAGGUGCGACCAUACUCCCCCCUGCCAUGCAUGAGCUUGGUCUUGAUCUCACCCAUAAUCCUACCUGUUCGCCUGCUUCUGAAGGGGCCAGCCCAUUGCUCUGGCCAGCACCAGAGACCUCUGUGCCAUCCUCGGACACCCCAUACUCGCCAGCAUCACCAGUGCCACCGUGCUUCACCGGGUCCACCAUGGCAGCAUCACCUCCCUGGGUGGAUGGUGACAGGCAAGAAGAUCGUGCGUGUGUGUUAUGGGUGCGGGAAGGAUGGAAGGCCGCGGGCCGGCGACAGGGCAGUGGUACAUACCUCAGCUCCCCCGGAGGUCACCACCUCCUCACCAGCCUUCAAAGCUUCUUCAUUCCCCUGUGACAUACACAAUCUGUUUGUAAAGGUGCCCAUGCAUAUUGCUCCCCGCCCCAGCCCUGGAGCUGGAAACCCACCGUUGUCAUGGUCCUGUCAGCCGCGCUGGCUGCCUGUGACGUGAUGACACUGGCGGCACGGAGGUGAAGCGCAAAGCUUGAAGCGGCAUGCUCAGACAAAGCCGUGCUGCGUGCAGGGACCCCUGGCAUGGUACACAACCCGCUGCUGUGCUCAGGGAGGCUGCCAGCGGCGUGCUGGCUGCCUGGCAGCCCACACUCAGCAGCUAUCGGCGGCAAAGCUGCUGCAUUCUUGAUGAUCUGCAUGUGUGCAGGCACCCUGGCUUCAGCUGAGACAACCUGGGCGGAACAAAGGCAGGUAGCAUACCUCAUCAUACAGCCGAGUCCAUGGCCGCAUGGGCCAAUGGUACAUCAUGUUGUCCUCGCGACCAAUCUGUCCUUGGGCUGGUGUGGUGUGUCUUAUGUGGUCCCGGACAAACACCAGAGCGGCAUCAUGGCUCAUGCCCCUGAUCCGCUCUUUGUACUCGUUUGUCUUCAUCGCCAAUCCUUCACGGAUGUACCUCUUAAGGCUCUCCUCCUUGGCGCCACUACCAAGCAUUCCGACUAGCGUCCUCUCCACCUGUGAGGACGGACACAAUCUGUUUGCGCGCCGAACACUUCUCAACAACAACCUGGCACAGUAUUCACCUGAUUGCCAGCCGAGAAUCUCAUUGAUACGAGAUCGUCUGGCUUGCUGCGCCUUGGAACUGUAGCAACCCACUCAAUGCCAUCGACAAUAACUAUGAAGGUUUCUCCGGCGCGGCACUGUGCAAGUUCACACGCAAAGUUAAACACUUCACGUUUAAGGUGUUGGCCUAUUUGUCUCUUCUGUAAGUAAAGGUCGCGUAUCUGCAUUAAGGUACCAGAUGGUGACAUUUUCACAGCAAUCUCAUAGUGCUAAACCAGUGAUGUUUCUUAUUGGUGCUGCAAAUUGUCCAAAUGUUCACAUGACUUCUGGGCAGCAAGAGGUGAAAUGCCGUACAAUUCCGGACCCGGGUCCGGAAGUGUACGGCAUCUUAAAAAUUAUGCUGAAUCCUGGUCUUAACUUCGCAGAAUUGGACAGUACCAAUGAAUCGAAGCAUAUGUGCUCAUAUUUUGUAGAUGACAUCCAGGCAGAAUAGUCCAAAUAGCGGACAGGGGUCCUCGAGGUCUGUGUCCCCAGAACGGUCGUUGAGGAACACACUUGAAGAAGAGAGAGCUCUCAUCAUCCAGAGGAAUUUAAAGAAGCUAGAAAGCCUUGGACUACAGGUCGCCAGGCCUUCAAGCAAGCCUCCAUCUCGUCCGCCAAAACAGCGCUCACAACGAGGAGCUGAAGAAGGACACCCUCGACAAUCAGCACGUAUUGCUACUAUGCCUGCUGCGACAAAGAGGAAAGCCGCUGCCACCGAGGGUGCAGUCCGCAAUAAGGUAUGACCGGGUCCAGAUCGGGUCAAACCAUUCAUUUCCCUUCAUACGGUUACCGCAGACCAUUUCUCUCAUUCCAAUUUUCCAAAUUAUACUGUUUUACGCGAUCUGGGUUACAAAUGUUUCUCUUAGGUUCAUGUUUCCAAUCACGUGCAUUUUCACGGGAUGCCUUGCUCCAUGUCAAUGUCGGCAAAUAAAAUGAAUGCAUGCAAAGACAACAGAUAUCUGGGCUCGAUCCCAACCCAUUUCCUCCGUGCGGUGCAGAAAAAACGGCCCAGGACCGAUGAUGAUGCAGCCGUGGAAGCUGUUGUGGAGGUCGCACCUGACCCCGACGCCUUCCUCAGCAUCUUCACUGAUGCACAAAAACAGCAUGCUAGUUCACACGGCCUUAUGCUGAACACUGAGGCCGGCCGUGUCCUGGCGGCCAUCCUUAGCUGGCCAUCCCAGUACACCCUGUCUGCAAGCAACGAGGGUACUUUCCUUCGUGCCUACGAGGUCUGUGAGAAGCUCUGCGACGUGGCCGGUCUAUGUGGGGACGACUUCACCGAUCCAAGGCGGCAGGCUGCAACGGCGUUCACAGAUCAACUUGUGACCGUCCUGAAGGAGGGGCCCAAGCCGCUCAAGCCCGUGGAGCUUCAGCGCCUCUCCGCCGGCCUGGCAGCUAUGUGCGGGGGUGGCGGGGGUCGUGCAAAGAAGCCCAAGCAGUCCAGCACGCGCUGCUGCAGGACCAGCACCACCCUUACAGACCGCAUUCUUGACGACUUCCAGGACGACUUCCUUGCUACGAGCAUCUUCGAAAACAUCGAGGUGGGUGUGUGGGUGGGGUUUCAUGGUGUACAAUCUAUUCCUAUCCACUGGCUCAUUGACAUUCUUCAUCGAACAAGCACCAUGUCCUAGAGGGAGAAACCAGAUAUCCACACCACAGUGCAUGCCGCCAGGUCUAGCGCAGAUCUACACCACAAUGCAUUGUUGUUUGUGCUUUUGCAGAACUUGAAGCCGCGCCUGGCAAAGAUUGUUGCGGACUUUGGGGGGGUUGAUAAAGUUGCUUCCCUGGUGGGCAUGAAGAAGCACGAAAAGGUCACGGAGGACCUCGUCUUUGAUAAGCUGCGCGGCGCCACUAAGACCAAGUGGAGGAACACACGGCACCUAAAGAAAGGAGGUGUGAUGGGGUUUUUCUAUACAGAUUUGGUGUACUUUAGUUUGCUAAAAUUACACCAGGCAAUCUCUGUAUUGUGUUCGAGAUUAUCUCUAUAUUAUUUAAGUGGACUAUAAUAUAGUCCACAUAUGGCCAGCAACAUGCUCGGAAUUUCUUGCUCUCCUAUGACUUCUGGGUUUGGAUACCUAUUAGGCGACCUAGCAACUAACGUGUGCAGUGUCUAUGUAUGCAGGCCACGCAUCUGAGGAGGAGGAAGAGGAGGAGGAGGAGAACACCAAGGCCAACGAGGAGGUCAAGGCCAAAGCUGUCGAAGAUGAUGAUGAGGGCAGCCCACCCGUUGAAAACAUCCAGCCGGAGGCAGCCCCUGACAAUGGCACAGAGCCUGGACCCAGCGGGGACAACAGGGACGCUGGGGCUGGGGCUGCUCUGCCAGCUGUUCACCAGGGCAUGUGGCAGGCCCUGCUGGACGACAAUGACAAAGAGCUGCAACGCUACACAGCUGCUGACGGGCACCUUGCGUACCUGCAAGAAUGUGACCUCGUGGGGAAGACCAAGGGCUGCUUCCUUGUUGGAGCACGUAAGAAGAAGGACAUCAAGCCCGAGGCUUUGGGGGCUGGAUUACUAUUGGGCGACCUGGUAAGCUUACAUGCUGUCUGACAGGCGGUCUGCUGUGUGUCUGUAUGUGUUCGUACCCUAACAAAGAACUUCCGUCUGCGUGCUUGUAACUGCCGCCUGGCCUCUUACCCCCUAUGAACAUACAGGAUGGCGAGACCGCUGACGGCUGCACUGAUCUCCUGGUGAUUGGCCGCGCCAUGGCAGUCAUCAAGGACCUUGGCACUGUGCACAUUCCCCCGACUGGCCAGUCCUUUGCACUAAACGACCGGCCACUCCGCCUCUUCCAGAAGGUAAAUCAAGGUUGAGCUGAGAUACCGUGUCUGCAUCACAUGUGUUGACUUUGUUCUGGUUGCUUCUGUCUGCAGGUGCGAUGGCCCAUUGUGGGAUUGCUCGCAGUCAAGGGCAAGAUGACCGCAGUCCAGUGGGCCAUGAGGACCACUGGGCUGAGCAAGAAGCAGUUGGAUGCAGUGGACUUGGAGUGAUACACGCCCUGUUAGGAACCACCUUAGGUGUGGGAAGUGUAGGCGGUGUGUGGGGCUGUACUUGGCUAUUGGGCUGUCCUGUCCAUGCGCCUAGUUGCGCCUAGUUGCGAGUAGUUAGCAUAGGCCUUGUGAUCGCGUUCAGGGAUCCAUCAUAACACUCAUUCAUUUGGUAUGCUGCAGUACCAUAUGCAGUUCCAGCAUGGAUCGAGCGUGUGAUUGUAGAUAUGUUGUAGGUAUAAGUGCUGGCAUGGUGGACCUGACCUCAUAUGUGUGUCUGCCCGAAUGGGAAAGUGGUCUGCUGUGAGAAUCGGGCUCUAGUGAGAUGGUGGCCCUAGGUUUUUGUUGGGCAUACCUCUGUUUGAAGGCGCCCUUAAGAACGGUUUAAGAAUGCUGGGGGACGGAAUGCUUGAGAACACUGUAACAACGCUUGAGAACGCUGCAAGAAUACUUGAGAAUGCUGUGAGAACGCUUGAGAACGCUGUAAGAGCGCUUGAGAAUGCUGUAAGAACGCUUAAGAAUGGUGAGAGAACGGUGUAAGAACGCUUGAGAACGCUGUAAGAACGCUUAAGAAUGGUGAGAGAACGGUGUAAGAACGCUUGAGAACGCUUUAAGAACGCUUAAGAAUGGUGAGAGAACGGUGUAAGAACGCUUGAGAACGCUUUAAGAACGCUUAAGAAUGGUGAGAGAAUGCUGUAAGAACGCUUGAGAACGCUUUAAGAACGCUUAAGAAUGGUGAGAGAAUGCUGUAAGAACGCUUGAGAACGCUUUAAGAACGCUUAAGAAUGGUGAGAGAACGGUGUAAGAACGCUUGAGAACACUGUAAGAACGCUUAAGAAUGGUGAGAGAACGCUGUAAGAACGCUUGAGAACGCUUUAAGAACGCUUAAGAAUGGUGAGAGAACGGUGUAAGAACGCUUGAGAACGCUUUAAGAACGCUUAAGAAUGGUGAGAGAACGGUGUAAGAAUGCUUGAGAGUGGUGAAAGAUUGCUUAAGAAUGCGUGAGAAAAUGGUUUGAGAAUGUCCUUGAGAACGGGUAAGAUCGCUGAGAACGCUUGAGAUUCCCUGCAAAGAGCGCUCUCUUGAGAUCGCUUAAGAACGCUUGAGAAGGCACAAUCUUAAAACAUGGCAGAUAAGAGCGUUCUCAGAACGCUCUUAACAGCGGCAUCUACUUGUGCUUUAUAUGGCUUAAGAUCGCGUUGAGAGCGCUCUUAAAGCGGUUUCAUUUUGGUAGGGGUAUUUGAUUAAAUGGGAAGGUUACGACUCUAGUCAUAAUACCUAUGAACCAGAGGAAUCCCUUCGCCAGUCUACUCCCUUGGCGGAAUCCAUCGACGAAUAUGAACGCAAACUUGCGUCUAAGAAGCACCCUCAAGCCCCGGAAAAACCUAAGGGACGGAAAACUUCUAAGAAGAAGUAACGCUCCCGGGACGGUUCACUUCAGAGGGGGAAGACUGUAGCAGGCUACAUUUCCCUUAGAAUAUUUCAACAAUUACUUUUAACAAUAACUGUUAAUUCGUUAACGAUUCGUCUCAAGUUUCGUACAUGUUACGAGCUUCGUCACAUGUACCGAACAUGGCGGUUGUUCGUAAGUGAACCUAACGGGCUGGGGCCCCGGGCCCCACCAACAUUAUCCUAGUACGGCAAGUCCGUGGUAGGGAAUCUCCGGCAGGUAGGCCGAGAUAUAAGCUNNNNNNNNNNNNNNNNNNNNNNNNNNNNNNNNNNNNNNNNNNNNNNNNNNUUCGUACCCUAAAAAGAACUUCCGUCUGCGUGCUUGUAACUGCCGCCUGGCCUCUUACCCCCUAUGAACAUACAGGAUGGCGAGACCGCUGACGGCUGCACUGAUCUCCUGGUGAUUGGCCGCGCCAUGGCAGUCAUCAAGGACCUUGGCACUGUGCACAUUCCCCCGACUGGCCAGUCCUUUGCACUAAACGACCGGCCACUCCGCCUCUUCCAGAAGGUAAAUCAAGGUUGAGCUGAGAUACCGUGUCUGCAUCACAUGUGUUGACUUUGUUCUGGUUGCUUCUGUCUGCAGGUGCGAUGGCCCAUUGUGGGAUUGCUCGCAGUCAAGGGCAAGAUGACCGCAGUCCAGUGGGCCAUGAGGACCACUGGGCUGAGCAAGAAGCAGUUGGAUGCAGUGGACUUGGAGUGAUACACGCCCUGUUAGGAACCACCUUAGGUGUGGGAAGUGUAGGCGGUGUGUGGGGCUGUACUUGGCUAUUGGGCUGUCCUGUCCAUGCGCCUAGUUGCGCCUAGUUGCGAGUAGUUAGCAUAGGCCUUGUGAUCGCGUUCAGGGAUCCAUCAUAACACUCAUUCAUUUGGUAUGCUGCAGUACCAUAUGCAGUUCCAGCAUGGAUCGAGCGUGUGAUUGUAGAUAUGUUGUAGGUAUAAGUGCUGGCAUGGUGGACCUGACCUCAUAUGUGUGUCUGCCCGAAUGGGAAAGUGGUCUGCUGUGAGAAUCGGGCUCUAGUGAGAUGGUGGCCCUAGGUUUUUGUUGGGCAUACCUCUGUUUGAAGGCGCCCUUAAGAACGGUUUAAGAAUGCUGGGGGACGGAAUGCUUGAGAACACUGUAACAACGCUUGAGAACGCUGCAAGAAUACUUGAGAAUGCUGUGAGAACGCUUGAGAACGCUGUAAGAGCGCUUGAGAAUGCUGUAAGAACGCUUAAGAAUGGUGAGAGAACGGUGUAAGAACGCUUGAGAACGCUGUAAGAACGCUUAAGAAUGGUGAGAGAACGGUGUAAGAACGCUUGAGAACGCUUUAAGAACGCUUAAGAAUGGUGAGAGAACGGUGUAAGAACGCUUGAGAACGCUUUAAGAACGCUUAAGAAUGGUGAGAGAAUGCUGUAAGAACGCUUGAGAACGCUUUAAGAACGCUUAAGAAUGGUGAGAGAAUGCUGUAAGAACGCUUGAGAACGCUUUAAGAACGCUUAAGAAUGGUGAGAGAACGGUGUAAGAACGCUUGAGAACACUGUAAGAACGCUUAAGAAUGGUGAGAGAACGCUGUAAGAACGCUUGAGAACGCUUUAAGAACGCUUAAGAAUGGUGAGAGAACGGUGUAAGAACGCUUGAGAACGCUUUAAGAACGCUUAAGAAUGGUGAGAGAACGGUGUAAGAAUGCUUGAGAGUGGUGAAAGAUUGCUUAAGAAUGCGUGAGAAAAUGGUUUGAGAAUGUCCUUGAGAACGGGUAAGAUCGCUGAGAACGCUUGAGAUUCCCUGCAAAGAGCGCUCUCUUGAGAUCGCUUAAGAACGCUUGAGAAGGCACAAUCUUAAAACAUGGCAGAUAAGAGCGUUCUCAGAACGCUCUUAACAGCGGCAUCUACUUGUGCUUUAUAUGGCUUAAGAUCGCGUUGAGAGCGCUCUUAAAGCGGUUUCAUUUUGGUAGGGGUAUUUGAUUAAAUGGGAAGGUUACGACUCUAGUCAUAAUACCUAUGAACCAGAGGAAUCCCUUCGCCAGUCUACUCCCUUGGCGGAAUCCAUCGACGAAUAUGAACGCAAACUUGCGUCUAAGAAGCACCCUCAAGCCCCGGAAAAACCUAAGGGACGGAAAACUUCUAAGAAGAAGUAACGCUCCCGGGACGGUUCACUUCAGAGGGGGAAGACUGUAGCAGGCUACAUUUCCCUUAGAAUAUUUCAACAAUUACUUUUAACAAUAACUGUUAAUUCGUUAACGAUUCGUCUCAAGUUUCGUACAUGUUACGAGCUUCGUCACAUGUACCGAACAUGGCGGUUGUUCGUAAGUGAACCUAACGGGCUGGGGCCCCGGGCCCCACCAACAUUAUCCUAGUACGGCAAGUCCGUGGUAGGGAAUCUCCGGCAGGUAGGCCGAGAUAUAAGCUACCCGGGCGGGGUGCUCUGGCCAGACACUGACGUAUCACAUUACUAGGUGUUCGGAGUUCAAGACUCUGCUGCCGCCGUCUCUGAUUGUGUUCGUACGCGUCUAUGUACACUAGUGCUUGCCGCUUGGUUGGACUUCUUCCCACUCCGGCGAGGACUGUAAACUCUACGCUUCCGCUAAGUCAGUCGACCCGCCAGGUGAGCGACUGCUACAGACCGGGAUCAGCGGUCCAACAUUGCUAUCCAUUUUCUUCGGAGCCCCGGCUCUAAUAUUCCCCCGUCUGCUCGGCUUUGGGACGACUCACCUGAGCAAGACGACACUCAACCAGCUUCCAUGUUGACGGCCGAGGCAUCAAUACAGUGGCCUGAGACGCCCACACCACAAGGGCAGAUAUCGCCUGCGGCUAUCAGUAGAGGCUCCGCGCCUGAGACCAUUGAUUCACCUGUGGGAAGCAGCGGAGAGUUCAGUGAUGGUGAUUCAACAACCCGUGGGAACAUGGACAUGGAACACAUCAUCGACAUCCUUGUACGGCAAGCACUUAGGUCAGACGAGAUUCCGUCGGAAAGUGCCUCCAGCGGUGAAUGGGCUGCGGAUGCAUGGAGUACCGACAGCGUCACCAGUUCUGGCACUGAAGAGGCUUGGGCAAAUGUCUGGCCUGGAGAUGUGUCUGAGUACGACAACGACUCGCACUCUGGUCCUGGACCGCCAAUAUCGACCCCUGCGGAUCCGUUCCGUUCUUUUCCUGAAACUAUUCCUGUCUUGAGCUCUCAAGAGCUCCUGUUACCACGACUGCUAACUGAGGAGCGUAUUUCUGUUACCCACAACCAUGCUGCAGCAGCACAGUUUGAUGCGAAUAUGCCAGCUGCCCUUGCCCCAGAGGCUUGGAUCAUGACGGACAUUUGGAGGAGGCUCAUUUUCGCGUGUUGGUAGCCCGUGCGGUUCGGCCAGUCAAGAGCCCUACCCCUGCGCUACACGAGUUGCUAAGCAACAAAGUAAACACCGAUCUUCAGUACCCUGAACACCAGCAGCUGGUCACAUGUUUGACUGACAGCUUUGACAUGUUCACCUUAACCAACCGAGAGCUAGGGCUUACGUCCUGGGUGUCCAUGAAGGUGGACAUGGGAGAUCAUCCUCCUAUCGUGCAGAAUCCUUACCGUCUGUCACGGACGGAGAAAGCCACCGUUGAUGCUGAGAUGCGGCAGAUACUACAGGACGGGAUUAUCGAACUGGUCAACAGUCCUUGGGUGUCUCCAGUCGUAGUCGUCCCCAAGAAAAACGGAGAACUCCGGCCCUGUGUGGAUAUGCGGAGGGUCAACGAUGUCACUAAGGACAUUCGGUUUCCGAUAGGCCACAUCCAGGAUAGAUUAGAUAUUGCUGCACCUCCAGGUGGCGAGACUCGUUACUACUCCAGCCUGGACUUGAAGUCAGGCUACUGGCAAGUCCCGAUGGCGGAUGAGGCUUCUAAGGAGCGUACGGCAUAUGUGUGAAUGCCCAUGGGUCUAAAGGGAGCGGCCGCUGUGUUCGCUACCCUGAUGCACAAGGUUCUGGACCCACUACUAGAGGAUUCGCCUCCACCCCCUGCUUUGUUGGAUAGCCCACCGCAGGAACGGUGUGUAGUGGUCUAUCUGGAUGAUAUCCUUAUCUUCAACCCGACACUACAAGAUCAUGUACGACAUCUUCAGCAAGUGUUCGACCUUCUCCGAAUGGCUGGUCUCAAGAUCGCAGCUAAGAAGUGCACGUUUGGCCAACAACGCGUGGUUUUUCUUGGUCACCUACUUGACGGAGUACAUGGUGUUGUGGGCCCUAACCCCGCCAACGUCAUGAAAAUUGCGGAACUUCCGUCUCCAUCCAAUGUUCGUGAAGUACAAGCAUGGCUGGGAGCUGUUGGUUACUACCGGGAACUUAUCCCUGGCUUCGGCUUGAUUGCACAGCCAUUGUAUGCGCUACUUAAGCAGGGGACACCCUGGUGCUGGGGUCCAAGAGAAGAAGACGCUUUUUAAGAGCUAUGUAAUACUUUACUACGGGAGCCUGUUUUCCGUGCACCUGAUUUCCGACGGCCGUUCUUGGUCCAAGUCGACUGGUGCCCCACCACUGUUGCCGUGUGC